CUCUCACAGUUCUGGAAGCCGGAAUUCUGAAAUCAAUAAGUUGCCAGGGCCGUGCUGUCUCUGAAGGUUCUGGAGAAGAAUUCUUCCUUGCCUCUUCCUGGCUUCUGGUGGCUGCUGGCAAUCGUUGGCAUUCCUCGGCUUGUAACUGCGUCACUGUAAUAUCUACCUUCGCCUUGACGUGGCUCUCUUCCCUCUGGGUGUGUCUCUCUGUCCCCAAAUCUCCCUUUCCUUAUAGUGAAUGCAGUCUUAGGCUUUAGGUCCAGUCAAUCCAGUAUGACCUCAUCUCAACUUGAUUCCACCUUCCGGACCCAAUUUCCAAAUAAGGUCACGUUCAUAGGUACCGCAGGUUAGGACUUCAACAUGCCUUUUUAGGGAACAUAACUCAACAACCACUACAGAGUAUUAUCAAAUAAUCCGUGGAAUUUCAACACUGAUUUCCAGAUCGUCUACUAAAGGAAAGGGUGAGGUAAAGAACCUUGGAUAUUUUUCAGUCAGGUCCUCCAAGUUGGAAUGCUUAGCAUCCAAACAACGUGCAGAUGCCUACUGUGAAACAACACGCCUCCUGACCACAAACACCACUGGGAAGAAAGAAAAGAGAGUUUUUCCACAUUGGCAAAUGACUUUGGUACAAAGAAUGUGUGAAAGCAAAGAGAUUCUUUCCCCUGGGCUUCAUCACUGCAAAUAUGUACUGUCAGGUAGAUUGGCUCUUAGGUCUAAAAUAUAAGACCCUUUGAGCAGAGCGGCUAUAUACAGCAAGUGCAAAAGAUGGAGAAACAAAGCAAAACAGAAACCGAAGCAUAGUUCAGCCUAAGGUUCCUCAAGCAAACAUCAUGUUACACUGCAAAGCUUUUGUUCACUAGACAAGUAAAGAAGUUCAGGCAUAGAAGUCUUAAACAUGAAGUUGGUUUAAGCAACUUGGUUACCACACGACCAGCUGAAUUUAAAGACCAGUGUGAGUUUAGAAAGAGAGCCACAAAGGAAACUGGAAGUGAGGUACUGUCCACCCAGCCAGCCAUAUGUGUUCAACAUCUCAUGGAAAGACGGUGAUAUAUGACAGCUAAUUCCCCCCUCACUUUAAAAAUAAAACCUUAGAUUUCAUUCUUUUAAA
RNAcentral lists this long non-coding RNA (1108 nucleotides) under Equus caballus (horse). RNAcentral's name for it is "lncRNA (ENSECAG00000035858.3)". Lineage: Eukaryota; Metazoa; Chordata; Mammalia; Perissodactyla; Equidae. The record is from RNAcentral.